ACACCAUUACUUCAAUAUCCCUUUCUUGUUUUUCCUUGGAUAGGUUUUAACAAGAUAGAACUCUAGAUCACUUGGGUCCAAAGACGCUAGAUUAUAAAAUCCUGAUGUGACUUGAUACUACAAAUAGAAUAUGUCUUAUGAUUUAAUACUACAAAUAAAAUGUCUUUUAAGUACAAACUUCAAUGAAUUGAUAAAGUGUAAGGAUAGUGUUUAAAGUUGCUUCAUGUGUAGAAGCUGAAUUACUUUAGUUUAUACACUGUAUAUUGUCGAGAUCACAUGUUGAUAUGACUUAAUACCAGCAACUUGCAAUAAGUGGUCUGUUCUGCUUGUUUAUAAUACUUUAGAGUUUGGACAUUAGAACAUUGUAAUUGCCUGACAGAGACUGUUAGGGCCUGUUUGUAUGGAAGCCGGGUUGGCCCGCUUAGUGAGACAGCCCGGUAAGGUAGGUAAGCAGGAUGAUUUCUCUUGUGUUUAUUUGAGAAAAUUUCAUUCCGCUUACCGGGACAAUUUUGUUGUUUUGACAUUAUUUUGACAGUUGUUAAAAAUAGCUUGCGGCAGUAUCUUUGAACUUUCAUCCCGGCAACCGGGCUAGCCUGCUUAUGAUUGUUUAGGUGGAGAAAUUUCCAUCCUGGUCUUGGCAACCGGGCCUGCCCGCUUGUCCAUAGAAAUGAU
This is a non-coding RNA of Paramuricea clavata, 672 nucleotides long. Lineage: Eukaryota; Metazoa; Cnidaria; Anthozoa; Malacalcyonacea; Plexauridae. The record is from the annotation of a GenBank genome assembly.